This 569-nucleotide long non-coding RNA is filed under the name Zea mays. RNAcentral's name for it is "long non-coding RNA (ZMAY_LNC000794)". The record is from RNAcentral. Lineage: Eukaryota; Viridiplantae; Streptophyta; Magnoliopsida; Poales; Poaceae.
UGUGAAAUCCGUAUGUAAAUCCCUUCGCAAACUAUCUGCAGAUGUAGGCCUACCAGGCCAAACCUAUUACAAUUCACGUGAUAGAGAGAAAAAAAGAUGGAAACAGAUUUAACUAAGAUUUGACUGAAUUUUUGGCCAAAACUUGGUCAAGAGGCAUGAAGAGGAAACAGAUAUGCACUUCUAUAUUGAUUAUUGAAUGAAGAACUUGUAUGUUUGUUUCAACUCUAGAGUUGACUAAUAAUUGAAAUCCAAUGGAAACAUUUGGCCGGUAUAUUCGGACGACCUCGCCGAAACGGGUGAAUUUCACCGAAAGUGAGUCAUUUCGGGGUGAAUCCCAAAGCCCUGUGGAGGGUGAGGAGUUACAAAGUGCUAUUACAAUGCAACGCUUCACUUCCACUGGUUGGCGCAGAUGUCAGCGAGGUCGACGACCCUCUGCGAGUAGCCCCACUCGUUGUCGUACCAGGAGAUGACCUUGACCAUGUCGUCGCCCAUGACCAUGGUGAGGGAGGCGUCGAUGGUGGAGGAGACGUCGGAGCACCUGAAGUCGACGGACACGAGCGGCACGUCGC